RNAcentral lists this unclassified non-coding RNA (4526 nucleotides) under Cotesia glomerata. RNAcentral's name for it is "protein ECT2, transcript variant X2". The record is from RNAcentral. Lineage: Eukaryota; Metazoa; Arthropoda; Insecta; Hymenoptera; Braconidae.
AUGAAGCCUAGUGACUUAGCUAUGGCGAAAAAAAAAAGUGGUUUAUGUUUUUGUAUCGUAUUGUUGGUCUUCGUGAAUCAGGAGUGAGUGUACGAACUAUUUACAUCUUUGUUACACAUUAAUUCCAUUUUAAAAAACAAGUGCUAGAGAGAAAGAGAGGGAAGAAAUAAUUUUUUUAACAAUUUUGUAGUGGCAAGACAAGCUUGUGAGAAAGUUUUGCAGUGAACUCCCUCCGAGUGCUCUGAGUGCUUUUGGUGUCUCACUCUAUCAUUUAUAAACUUGACUCCUCGCUGUUUUAAGUUAUAGUUAUAUAGUUAUAAGUUAUAAUUUAACUAUAUAGUACAUAGAUGUAUGUAACUAAAUAUAUAGAUAUAGUUGCCAGUUGAGUGUGUAUAAUACAAAAGUAACGUCAGUGUAACAAGGCGGGAGUAAUAAAAUGUAUUUAUUAUUAUUAAUAAUGGUGGAUUUAUAAAUAAAUAUUUAUAAUUUAUAAUGGAUUUUAAGUGAUAAAUAUAUAAGUGGAGUAUAUUGUGGCAUAUAUUUUUAAUUAAAAUAGUUAUAAAAUUUUUUUUUUAAUACCAAGCUAACAAGUAUAAAUACACAUAUAUAAUUGUUGAUCGUUAUCGCGAAAUAUAUUCGCGAGGUACAAGUUCAGCUAACGGACAACAACGACGACGACGACGACGACGACGACGACGACGGGCGUCCUGAUGUUGUAACGAAACGGUCAAAAUGGAAGAACGCAGCGUUCACAGCAGUAUCAGUGAUAUAAAUAGUGAGGAGCCAGCUAAGACUGAACCAAUAAAUUUACCGAGAAAAAAAAGAAUAUGUUUAGUGGGCUUGGCCAGCACUGAUCCAGCACUAGGAACUGCUGCUCAGCAGUUUGGUGUCCCAGUUCUAAAAUCAGAAACAGGAGCUGAGUAUAUUGACGAUACUACUUAUUGUACGUACUUUGUGCUCAAGCAUUUUGAAGGAUCUGAAUAUGAAAUCUUACACAAAAGCCCUCAUAGAAUUCUCGGGCCUACGGCUCUCCUCCAAUUGGCGGACAAAAAAGAAUCUUUACCGAGUAUCAAUAGACCGAUGUACUCAAGAUCAAUGUUGGGAACCGUUGUAGUAUUUACAGGCUUUAGAAAGAAAGAUGAAUUGACCAGGCUCAUCAAUAUGAUUCACAGUAUGGGUGGUAGUAUUAGAAAAGAAAUGGGUGCUAAAGUGACUCAUUUAAUAGCUAAUUGUUGUGGUGGUGACAAAUAUAGAUAUGCUGUUACAUUUAGGGUGCCAAUAAUGUCAAUGAAUUGGGUUGUUGCACUUUGGGAUGCUAAAAAUGACGCAACACGUUAUGGAAACAAUGACGACGUGAUAAAUCAUUUUAAGUUAAAACCAUUUUUUGGUGCACGAGUAUGUUUCUUCGGAUUUCCUGAAGACGAAAAGAGACAUAUGUGUGAAGUGUUACAGCAACAAGGUGGCGAGCCCACUGAAAUUGACGAUCCUGAGUGUAGUCACGUUAUCAUCGACAUAAACAGGGACUAUCUCAUCGAGGACUAUCACCUAAAACUUCAAAAAAAAUUGAGCUCUGACUCAGAUGAAAAUUCACCUCCUUGUCACAAUAAAACAUUCACUUAUUACGAUUCACAAUCCUUUAAAUUGCACUCUAUAGGUCCCAAUGAUGAUGAUUGCGAGUCUAUUAACAGUAGAAUUAAUAGCGUCAGCUCACUGAUGACAUUAGACUCUGUUAAUUUCGAUAAAUAUCAAGACUCAGCAAUAUCUCUUGAUUUUAACUCUCGAUCUGAUUCUCCCGGUUUUGUUGACGAGCUUGAUUUCCAAAGCGAAUCAAUCCGCGCCUCUUCACCAUCAAAAUCUCCCUCGCUUGCCUAUAGAGUUAAAAAUUCACCGUCUUUAAUAAAUGAUCGGCAAUUAAUAGCUACUAGUGAUCUUAGAGCUUCAGUCAGACGUUACGUUAAAUGGAAGAAAUUUAAAUCAUGUUUUUCACUCCCGCAAAUGACGAUGAAUCAAUCGCGAUUCUCUAAAACUCAAUCAUUCAACGAAUCGUUUAAAAAAUAUCCCGAAGAGAAUUUAACAAUCGAGGAUAAAGCCAAAACAUUCCACGUUAAUCGCCAGUCUUCAUUACAAACUCAUUAUAAUAAAUAUAAUUAUCGUAGAGAUUCAUUAUUAACUUCACUGCAAGACAUUACACUCGGUCCAUCAUUUAAACACACAAUGCACAUAAAUAAUAAUAUUUGCAAUGAUUUAAAUUUAAACACUGACACAUAUAAAGUCAAUCUAAUUAAAAACAAACGAUCGUUAUCAUGUGGCUUGCUUUCUACGCAAAUUAAAAAAACUAAAUUAUCAUCAUCGGCUUCUAAUUUAUUCGAACAUUCUGAGGGCUGUAAUUCCAUUGAUAACAUACCAGAUGACUGUAAUACUGAUUCACUGAGAGAGAAAUACACCGAGCAGGAGGAUCGCCCGUUUAGGAUGGUUGUUGAUGAAUCUAAUGUCAAUACAUUACCCGACUUGACGUCAAUGCGUGCUUACAUUGUAAAAGCCGAGUGGUUUUGGACUUCGGUGCAAAAUGAAGGCGCUGCUGAUGAAAAAGAAUAUCUUUUUGAGGAUUAUCUGGAAUCAAUGCUAUCACCUAGUGCAUCAAUACGCAAAGAUAGCCAACAAGCUGCGACACCAACGACAGCAUCAACUAGAAGAAAACGCAAACGUCUUGCUGAAACAUUGUCAAGUCUGGUGCAAAAUGGUGCCGAUUCGCCGGCUGUACAUAAAAGAAGAUCCAGCAUCAGUGAUGCAGGUCAUCUGAGUGUUAGUGGGAGCUUCUUAGAUUGCACUGCGAGUCCUGAUAAGCAGAUGCUAGAUGAUAUUCCAGAAGUAGAAGCAGUAAAUACAGAAACGGCUCGUAAAAAUUUAUCGCCACGUCAUCAAGUGUUUUUGGAAUUAGUACAGACAGAAUCUAAUUACGUUGGCAUCCUUAGCACAAUAAUGACCUUGUUCAAAUCGCCUUUAGAGGAUUACAUCGAAACAAGCAACGAAUUAUUAAAUAGUACAGAGGCCAAAAUAAUAUUUGGUAAUUUUCCACCGAUAUAUGAAGUUCACAAAAAAAUGUUAGAAGAGUUACGAUAUAGUGCGGCACACUGGACUGAAGACAUAAGUAUAGGAAAUAUAUUUUUAAAAUAUGCGCCGGAUUUAAUGAAAGCGUAUCCGCCGUAUGUUAAUUUUUUUGAAAACACAAAAGAAAUGUUGGAGCAGUGCGAUCAAAAUAAACCACGAUUUCACGCAUUCUUAAAGAUAUGUCAAACAAAACCAGAGUGUGGUAGACAGAGUUUGAAAGAAUUAAUGAUAAAGCCUGUACAACGAUUACCCAGUAUUAGUUUAUUAUUAACGGAUAUUCUUAAGCACACGAAUAAAAAUAAUCCGGAUCACAGUGCUUUAGAACUGUCAAUCAGUAGUAUUAAAGAGGUAAUGACGUAUAUUAAUGAGGAUAAAAGAAAAACAGAAGGUCAAUUAGCAAUGUUUGAUAUCUUCAAUGAAAUAGACAACUGUCCGCCCCAUCUAGUCUCGUCGCAUCGUUCGUUUAUCGGUAAAUGUGAAGUUAUGGAACUGAGUGAAGGUUUAAGUGGUCGUGGCGAUCAUUUAGUUUUAUUUUUAUUCACUGAUACUCUUGAGAUAUGUAAAAAACGUUCUAAGGCUUUUAAUUCACUCAAGAGUCCUAAUACGGUCAAUGGAUUACAUGCUGUUAAACUUAAUCAGGGUAAACCAUAUAAACAUAUUAAAUUAUUGUCAUUAAGUACCAUUAAAAAAGUGGUGGACAUUCGUGAAACUGAUGAAUGUCAAAAUGUAUUUGCCCUGAUGGUUAGAAAUAAUCAAGAAUUGAAAGAAAAGCUGUACUCGUUUACAAUAACCGACGAGGAAGUAAAUAAAUGUAAUUAUUUACGGACUCUGUGCAGACAAAUGGCCAAUACAGUUUGUAAAGCCGAUGCCGAUACUUUCCUUAUAAGUCUCGAUUCACAUCAACUUGAAAUUGAUACCAGUGACGUCGCACUGGGGACAUUAAGUAAAGCAUUUAAGAGCCUAUUUCAUAAUUUUUACCUGGAGUAUAUGGAUCCGUAUGUGUUCCUACUCAAUAGCAUGUGUGAAACUACGUUACAUGUCCCAAUACCGUUUGCAUCGCGUACCAGGAUGAAAGUUGGCAGAGCAUUCAGCUUCAAUAAAACGCCGAGUAAAUUAAAAAGAGCCAUGUCCACGAUGAUGUCGCCCUUCGGAUCAACAAACAGCCUUACACCAGCGAGCCAGCAACUUGCACAAAUGCGUUUGGCAAGUUGUAAUAAUAUUAACUAUCAGGAUAAAUAUCGCCAAGUUACAAGAACUGGGCAAUGGUGGUACAGAUUCGCCGUCUAGAGAUGAAGUUCUUGUAGCUCCGAUGUCGGUUCAGCCGACCAGAAAGGCUAAGUGCAGCUCCUUGAGUAUGGCUUCAUUACGAAGAAACUGUUCAGAGGAAACGAUUCAAGAAAAAACAAACGUUUGAAUUA